This 440-nucleotide ribosomal RNA is filed under the name uncultured bacterium. Its description in RNAcentral is "bacterial SSU rRNA". It matches the Rfam family "Bacterial small subunit ribosomal RNA", at positions 339 to 796 of the family's 1533-position model. The record is from RNAcentral.
GUACGGGAGGCAGCAGUGGGGAAUCUUGCGCAAUGGGCGAAAGCCUGACGCAGCCAUGCCGCGUGAAUGAUGAAGGUCUUAGGAUUGUAAAAUUCUUUCACCGGGGAAGAUAAUGACGGUACCCGGAGAAGAAGCCCCGGCUAACUUCGUGCCAGCAGCCGCGGUAAUACGAAGGGGGCUAGCGUUGCUCGGAAUUACUGGGCGUAAAGGGCGCGUAGGCGGAUAGCUAAGUCAGAGGUGAAAGCCCAGGGCUCAACCUUGGAAAUGCCUUUGAUACUGGCUGUCUUGAGUUCGGGAGAGGUGAGUGGAAUGCCGAGUGUAGAGGUGAAAUUCGUAGAUAUUCGGCGGAACACCAGUGGCGAAGGCGACUCACUGGCCCGAUACUGACGCUGAGGCGCGAAAGCGUGGGGAGCAAACAGGAUUAGAUACCCCGGUAGUCC